Non-coding RNA from Danio rerio (zebrafish), 418 nucleotides. The record is from Ensembl. Lineage: Eukaryota; Metazoa; Chordata; Actinopteri; Cypriniformes; Danionidae.
UAUAUAUAUAUAUAUAUAUCCAUCCUAUUCUAAGAGAAAUUAAUGGGGUCAGGGAAUGAUUUGUGUACAAAUGUAUUUUAACCCCAAACAGAUUGGUAUCGUUGUACCAUAGAUUUAGAUUAAUUAAUGUUAAGUCUUAUUUUACUCUUAUUAUAUUUAUCUGUUUUUCAGCUACAGUAAUUGAUGUUGAAAAACUGAUGCUACCAAUCACUCCUCACUUGAUUAUUCAAGCAGUUCCUAAGAUAAAAAAAAAAUCUGGUGUUAAAACAGCCACGGCUAUGCUAUUUGCCUACCAAGUGCUGACCCAGAUAGUGAUGGACCUGGAAUGCGACACCAGUUACUCUCAAGACAAGAACCGAAUAAAGCACAGAUGUGGAGGGAUUUGCAGCCAAACUAACUGGAGGGAAGGAACCUUUAG